GACGAACGCUGGCGGCGUGCUUAACACAUGCCAGUCGAACGGAAAGGCUCCAGCUUGCUGGAGUACUCGAGUGGCGAACGGGUGAGUAACACGUGGGUAAUCUGCCCUGCACUCUGGGAUAAGCCUGGGAAACUGGGUCUAAUACUGGAUAUGACCUUUCUCCUUAUGGGGUGUGGUGGAAAGUUUUUCGGUGUAGGAUGGGCCCGCGGCCUAUCAGCUUGUUGGUGGGGUGAUGGCCUACCAAGGCGACGACGGGUAGCCGGCCUGAGAGGGUGAUCGGCCACAUUGGGACUGAGAUACGGCCCAGACUCCUACGGGAGGCAGCAGUGGGGAAUAUUGCACAAUGGGCGGAAGCCUGAUGCAGCGACGCCGCGUGAGGGAUGACGGCCUUCGGGUUGUAAACCUCUUUCAGCAGGGACGAAGCGUAAGUGACGGUACCUGCAGAAGAAGCACCGGCUAACUAUGUG
RNAcentral lists this ribosomal RNA (467 nucleotides) under uncultured bacterium. RNAcentral describes it as "partial 16S ribosomal RNA". It matches the Rfam family "Bacterial small subunit ribosomal RNA", at positions 28 to 507 of the family's 1533-position model. The record is from RNAcentral.